ACCGGCCCUCCGGGGACUGAUGACUCCGCACCGAUAAUCCACUCGCUCCAGCUGCUCCCACCCACAGCCAAAAUGGAGACGCCCUCGGAUGAUAGAACCAGCUCAGAGAAUCAAGGCCACUUCCCCCAAGAAAACAGCUGCCUGCCAAGAGCUGAAGUUCCUGAUCUACUACUGAAUUUCCAUAGUUUA
Myotis davidii is the source of this 189-nucleotide long non-coding RNA. RefSeq lists it as uncharacterized. The transcript has 2 exons. NCBI's taxonomy places the organism in Eukaryota, Metazoa, Chordata, Mammalia, Chiroptera, Vespertilionidae. The record is from RefSeq and is a predicted model, not a curated record.